UAACACGUGGGCAAUCUGCCCUUCACUCUGGGACAAGCCCUGGAAACGGGGUCUAAUACCGGAUAAUACUCCUGCCUGCAUGGGUGGGGGUUGAAAGCUCCGGCGGUGAAGGAUGAGCCCGCGGCCUAUCAGCUUGUUGGUGGGGUAAUGGCCUACCAAGGCGACGACGGGUAGCCGGCCUGAGAGGGCGACCGGCCACACUGGGACUGAGACACGGCCCAGACUCCUACGGGAGGCAGCAGUGGGGAAUAUUGCACAAUGGGCGAAAGCCUGAUGCAGCGACGCCGCGUGAGGGAUGACGGCCUUCGGGUUGUAAACCUCUUUCAGCAGGGAAGAAGCGCAAGUGACGGUACCUGCAGAAGAAGCGCCGGCUAACUACGUGCCAGCAGCCGCGGUAAUACGUAGGGCGCAAGCGUUGUCCGGAAUUAUUGGGCGUAAAGAGCUCGUAGGCGGCUUGUCACGUCGGAUGUGAAAGCCCGGGGCUUAACCCCGGGUCUGCAUUCGAUACGGGCUAGCUAGAGUGUGGUAGGGGAGAUCGGAAUUCCUGGUGUAGCGGUGAAAUGCGCAGAUAUCAGGAGGAACACCGGUGGCGAAGGCGGAUCUCUGGGCCAUUACUGACGCUGAGGAGCGAAAGCGUGGGGAGCGAACAGGAUUAGAUACCCUGGUAGUCCACGCCGUAAACGUUGGGAACUAGGUGUUGGCGACAUUCCACGUCGUCGGUGCCGCAGCUAACGCAUUAAGUUCCCCGCCUGGGGAGUACGGCCGCAAGGCUAAGACUCAAAGGAAUUGACGGGGGCCCGCACAAGCAGCGGAGCAUGUGGCUUAAUUCGACGCAACGCGAAGAACCUUACCAAGGCUUGACAUAUACCGGAAAGCAUCAGAGAUGGUGCCCCCCUUGUGGUCGGUAUAC
This 910-nucleotide ribosomal RNA is filed under the name Streptomyces cavourensis. Its description in RNAcentral is "bacterial SSU rRNA". It matches the Rfam family "Bacterial small subunit ribosomal RNA", at positions 111 to 1035 of the family's 1533-position model. The record is from RNAcentral. Lineage: Bacteria; Bacillati; Actinomycetota; Actinomycetes; Kitasatosporales; Streptomycetaceae.